This 253-nucleotide ribosomal RNA is filed under the name uncultured bacterium. RNAcentral's name for it is "partial 16S ribosomal RNA". It matches the Rfam family "Bacterial small subunit ribosomal RNA", at positions 524 to 776 of the family's 1533-position model. The record is from RNAcentral.
UACGUAGGUGGCAAGCGUUGUCCGGAAUUACUGGGCGUAAAGCGCGCGCAGGUGGUUUCUUAAGUCUGAUGUGAAAGCCCACGGCUCAACCGUGGAGGGUCAUUGGAAACUGGGGAACUUGAGUGCAGGAGAGAAGAGUGGAAUUCCACGUGUAGCGGUGAAAUGCGUAGAUAUUGGGAGGAACACCAGUGGCGAAGGCGGCUCACUGGACUGGUACUGACGCUGAGGCGCGAAAGCGUGGGGAGCAAACGGG